This 482-nucleotide ribosomal RNA is filed under the name Enterococcus casseliflavus. RNAcentral describes it as "bacterial SSU rRNA". It matches the Rfam family "Bacterial small subunit ribosomal RNA", at positions 62 to 516 of the family's 1533-position model. Lineage: Bacteria; Bacillati; Bacillota; Bacilli; Lactobacillales; Enterococcaceae. The record is from RNAcentral.
UCGAACGCUUUUUCUUUCACCGGAGGUUGCUCCACCGAAAGAAAAAGAGUGGCGAACGGGUGAGUAACACGUGGGUAACCUGCCCAUCAGAAGGGGAUAACACUUGGAAACAGGUGCUAAUACCGUAUAACACUAUUUUCCGCAUGGAAGAAAGUUGAAAGGCGCUUUUGCGUCACUGAUGGAUGGACCCGCGGUGCAUUAGCUAGUUGGUGAGGUAACGGCUCACCAAGGCAACGAUGCAUAGCCGACCUGAGAGGGUGAUCGGCCACACUGGGACUGAGACACGGCCCAGACUCCUACGGGAGGCAGCAGUAGGGAAUCUUCGGCAAUGGACGAAAGUCUGACCGAGCAACGCCGCGUGAGUGAAGAAGGUUUUCGGAUCGUAAAACUCUGUUGUUAGAGAAGAACAAGGAUGAGAGUAAAAUGUUCAUCCCUUGACGGUAUCUAACCAGAAAGCCACGGCUAACUACGUGCCAGCAGCC